CGGGACGGGUGAGUAAUGUCUGGGAAACUGCCUGAUGGAGGGGGAUAACUGCUGGAAACGGUAGCUAAUACCGCAUAACGUCGCAAGACCAAAGAGGGGGACCUUCGGGCCUCUUGCCAUCGGAUGUGCCCAGAUGGGAUUAGCUAGUAGGUGGGGUAACGGCUCACCUAGGCGACGAUCCCUAGCCGGUCUGAGAGGAUGGCCAGCCACACUGGAACUGAGACACGGUCCAG
This 233-nucleotide ribosomal RNA is filed under the name uncultured bacterium. RNAcentral describes it as "partial 16S ribosomal RNA". It matches the Rfam family "Bacterial small subunit ribosomal RNA", at positions 100 to 334 of the family's 1533-position model. The record is from RNAcentral.